RNAcentral lists this ribosomal RNA (253 nucleotides) under uncultured bacterium. RNAcentral describes it as "partial 16S ribosomal RNA". It matches the Rfam family "Bacterial small subunit ribosomal RNA", at positions 524 to 776 of the family's 1533-position model. The record is from RNAcentral.
UACAGAGGUCCCAAGCGUUGUUCGGAUUCACUGGGCGUAAAGGGUGCGUAGGUGGUAAGGUAAGUCGGAUGUGAAAUCUCCAGGCUCAACCUGGAAAUGGCAUCGGAAACUACCUUGCUCGAGGUUUGGAGGGGGGACUGGAAUACUUGGUGUAGCAGUGAAAUGCGUAGAUAUCAAGUGGAACACCAGUGGCGAAGGCGAGUCCCUGGACAACACCUGACACUGAGGCACGAAAGCUAGGGGAGCAAACGGG